AAGGCUGUAAAUGGUGACCAAAA
Molecule: small nuclear RNA, 23 nt
Filed under: Arabidopsis thaliana (thale cress)
Lineage: Eukaryota; Viridiplantae; Streptophyta; Magnoliopsida; Brassicales; Brassicaceae
Description: snRNA_13472
Source: RNAcentral